CGUGUAGGCGGCUGGAUAAGUCAGAUGUGAAAGCCCUGGGCUUAACCUAGGAAGUGCAUUUGAAACUGUUCAGCUUGAGUAGGGGAGAGGAAAGUGGAAUUCCUGGUGUAGAGGUGAAAUUCGUAGAUAUCAGGAGGAACACCGGUGGCGAAGGCGACUUUCUGGCCCUAUACUGACGCUGAGACGCGAGAGCGUGGGUAGCAAACA
Molecule: ribosomal RNA, 207 nt
Filed under: uncultured Syntrophaceae bacterium
Lineage: Bacteria; Pseudomonadati; Thermodesulfobacteriota; Syntrophia; Syntrophales; Syntrophaceae
Description: partial 16S ribosomal RNA
Rfam family: Bacterial small subunit ribosomal RNA
Source: RNAcentral